Rhagoletis zephyria (snowberry fruit fly) is the source of this 180-nucleotide long non-coding RNA. RefSeq lists it as uncharacterized. The record is from RefSeq and is a predicted model, not a curated record. Lineage: Eukaryota; Metazoa; Arthropoda; Insecta; Diptera; Tephritidae.
ACUACACAGAGAAAAUGAUACAGAAAAGGCGAUGGAGUUUAUAUAAACAAUACUGCCAUUCUAACCCCCCACUACAUAAAAGGGGAAUUGUUGGACUUCUUUGAACGAAAAAAGCUUUGAAUUUGACCAGCGUGAAGCAAAAUUAGCAGGCCCAGCUUGGAAGUAAGGCAUGAACAUCUG